RNAcentral lists this transfer RNA (88 nucleotides) under Cellulomonas hominis. RNAcentral's name for it is "tRNA-Val". The record is from RNAcentral. Lineage: Bacteria; Bacillati; Actinomycetota; Actinomycetes; Micrococcales; Cellulomonadaceae.
CGCGAGCCGGCGGGCACGCGCGGCCGCAUCGUGCUCACGGCGCGUAGAUGUGCGGGCGUCAGGGCGCGUUCGAUCCGAGCGUUCGAGG